Molecule: unclassified non-coding RNA, 337 nt
Filed under: soil metagenome
Description: partial contains 5.8S ribosomal RNA, internal transcribed spacer 2, and large subunit ribosomal RNA
Rfam family: 5.8S ribosomal RNA (bases 1-120)
Source: RNAcentral
GAUGAAGAACGUAGCGAAAUGCGAUAAGUAGUGUGAAUUGCAGAAUUCAGUGAAUCAUCGAAUCUUUGAACGCACAUUGCGCCCUAUAGUAUUCUGUAGGGCAUGCAUGUUCGAGCGUCAUUUGUACCUUCAAGCUUUGCUUGGUGUUGGGUGUUUGUCCUCUCCCUGGUGUUUGGACUCGCCUUAAAACAAUUGGCAGCCAGUGUUUUGGUAUUGAAGCGCAGCACAAUUUGCGAUUCUGGCCUUAAAAUACUAGCGUCCAUAAGUACAUUCUCACUUUUGACCUGGGAUCAUGUAGGGAUACCCGCUGAACUUAAGCAUAUCAAUAAGCGGAGGA